RNAcentral lists this ribosomal RNA (241 nucleotides) under uncultured bacterium. Its description in RNAcentral is "partial 16S ribosomal RNA". It matches the Rfam family "Bacterial small subunit ribosomal RNA", at positions 532 to 773 of the family's 1533-position model. The record is from RNAcentral.
AUGCGAGCGUUAUCCGGAUUUAUUGGGUUUAAAGGGUGCGCAGGCGGAAUGUCAAGUCAGCGGUAAAAUCUCGGGGCUCAACCCCUUCCCGCCAUUGAAACUGGCGCUCUUGAGUGGAAGAGAAGUAUGCGGAAUGCGUGGUGUAGCGGUGAAAUGCAUAGAUAUCACGCAGAACCCCGAUUGCGAAGGCAGCAUGCCGGCUUCCUACUGACGCUGAAGCACGAAAGCGUGGGGAUCGAAC